CGGAGGAUCCAAGCGUUAUCCGGAUUUAUUGGGUUUAAAGGGUGCGUAGGUGGGAUAAUAAGUCAGAGGUGAAAGCUAGCAGCUUAACUGUUAAAUUGCCUUUGAUACUGUUAUUCUUGAGUAUAGUUGGCGUUGGCGGAAUGUGACAUGUAGCGGUGAAAUGCGUAGAUAUGUCACAGAACACCGAUCGCGAAGGCAGCUAACGAAACUAUCACUGACACUGAUGCACGAAAGCGUGGGGAGCAAACAGGAUUAGAUACCCUGGUAGUCCACGCCGUAAACGAUGAUAACUCGACGUUGGCAAUAUACUGUUCAGCGUCCAAGCGAAAGCGUUAAGUUAUCCACCUGGGGAGUACGAUCGCAAGGUUG
RNAcentral lists this ribosomal RNA (369 nucleotides) under uncultured organism. RNAcentral describes it as "bacterial SSU rRNA". It matches the Rfam family "Bacterial small subunit ribosomal RNA", at positions 526 to 896 of the family's 1533-position model. The record is from RNAcentral.